GGUACCCUACGGGGCGCAGCAGUGGGGAAUAUUGCACAAUGGGGGAAACCCUGAUGCAGCGACGCCGCGUGAGUGAAGAAGUAUUUCGGUAUGUAAAGCUCUAUCAGCAGGGAAGAAAAAAGACGGUACCUGACUAAGAAGCCCCGGCUAACUACGUGCCAGCAGCCGCGGUAAUACGUAGGGGGCAAGCGUUAUCCGGAUUUACUGGGUGUAAAGGGAGCGUAGCCGGCGCGGCAAGUCUGAAGUGAAAGGCAGUGGCUUAACCCAUGAACUGCUUUGGAAACUGCCAUGCUAGAGGGCUGGAG
RNAcentral lists this ribosomal RNA (305 nucleotides) under uncultured bacterium. Its description in RNAcentral is "bacterial SSU rRNA". It matches the Rfam family "Bacterial small subunit ribosomal RNA", at positions 333 to 654 of the family's 1533-position model. The record is from RNAcentral.